Molecule: long non-coding RNA, 427 nt
Organism: Osmia lignaria (orchard mason bee)
Lineage: Eukaryota; Metazoa; Arthropoda; Insecta; Hymenoptera; Megachilidae
Source: RefSeq, a predicted model, not a curated record
AUCCACGGUCAAGAAAAUGGCGGAUCGGACUGAAAACAUUUUUGCGAACCGUAUGUCCAAAUAGAGACCAGAGCGCCAUUCUUUGGGUUAGAUAGAGCAAAACAAGCACUUAGGGGAUGGUGGCGCAGUUCAUUCGUUUAGUACGCUCGACAGCGCAUCAUUCGCAGUUCGUGUAUGUGAUUAAAUGGUGUAUUAGGUAUAAAAAAUAGAAGAAACAGAAGACAAAGUUGAAGAGAAGACCGGAAACAUGACUUCUGACAUCAUUUCCAUAUCGCCUUCAGAAAUGCUGUCAAAGUAAUUCGAAGUUUCUACCAAUGCCUGUGAUUGGUCGUUCCAUUAUGGCGUCCUCCUAUUUAGACCAAUCAGAUUCAUCGUUGAAGAAGUCGAAGCAUGGUGCAUGGUGGAGUGCAACAGUCCUCUUCGAAGG